This 264-nucleotide ribosomal RNA is filed under the name uncultured bacterium. Its description in RNAcentral is "partial small subunit ribosomal RNA". It matches the Rfam family "Bacterial small subunit ribosomal RNA", at positions 26 to 280 of the family's 1533-position model. The record is from RNAcentral.
AGAGCGAACGCUGGCGGCGUGCUUAACACAUGCAAGUCGAACGCGCAGCAUUCUGUAGCAAUACAGGGUGUGGGCGCGUGGCGAACGGGUGCGUAACACGUGGAUAACCUUCCUUGAGGUGGGGAAUAACCCAGUGAAAAUUGGGCUAAUACCGCAUAACAUCGCGAUGGCACAUGCUGAUGCGAUCAAAGGCGCAAGUCGCCACAAGAGGGAUCCGCGGCCGAUUAGCUUGUUGGCGAGGUAAUGGCUCACCAAGGCGACGAC